GAUGAACGCUGGCGGCGUGCUUAACACAUGCAAGUCGAACGGUGAAGCAGGAGCUUGCUCUUGUGGAUCAGUGGCGAACGGGUGAGUAACACGUGAGCAACCUGCCCCUGACUCUGGGAUAAGCGCUGGAAACGGCGUCUAAUACUGGAUAUGUGAUGUGACCGCAUGGUCUGCAUCUGGAAAGAAUUUCUGUUGGGGAUGGGCUCGCGGCCUAUCAGCUUGUUGGUGAGGUAAUGGCUCACCAAGGCGUCGACGGGUAGCCCUCCUGAGCGGGUGACCGGCCACACUGGGACUGAGACACGGCCCAGACUCCUACGGGAGGCAGCAGUGGGGAAUAUUGCACAAUGGGCGGAAGCCUGAUGCAGCAACGCCGCGUGAGGGAUGACGGCCUUCGGGUUGUAAACCUCUUUUAGCAUGGAAGAAGCGAAAGUGACGGUACCUGCAGAAAAAGCACCGGCUAACUACGUGCCAGCAGCCGCGGUAA
This 484-nucleotide ribosomal RNA is filed under the name uncultured bacterium. RNAcentral's name for it is "partial 16S ribosomal RNA". It matches the Rfam family "Bacterial small subunit ribosomal RNA", at positions 28 to 523 of the family's 1533-position model. The record is from RNAcentral.